CAAACAAGCUUGUGGUGGUUAAACAUUUGACUGGUGUGCUCGGCUUUCUUGUUUCAGUGACAUAUGAAGAUGCAAAGUACAAAGAAAAAAAAUUCGGAAGCGACGUCCGACCUAACAUUGAAUAAUGAAGAGCGGGAGAAGAGAAAAAGGAAGAGACUGCAGCAUACUCUUUCUUCAUUUGAGGAUGAGGACUUCUAUGACCAAGAUGAACGACGUAACACUCAGCCAGCCCCUCAACUUCCAGAACGUGCACCAGAGCCCAAGCAAAAACGCACACGUGAGCUGUGCACACCUGCUUUAAACAGAAGGCAGAA
This 314-nucleotide long non-coding RNA is filed under the name Ixodes scapularis (black-legged tick). Its description in RNAcentral is "uncharacterized LOC120843646, transcript variant X1". The record is from RNAcentral. Lineage: Eukaryota; Metazoa; Arthropoda; Arachnida; Ixodida; Ixodidae.